UUAACACAUGCAAGUCGAGCGGUCUAGGAACUAGAUACUAGAAACUAGAAACUAGGGGUUGAAUCGCUGCGCGAUGAUUUAUUCUAAAGAAUCACCUUGCUUGGUAAGGUUCGACUUCCACUUUCUAGUUUCUAGUCUCUAGUUUCUAGAUAGCGGCGGACGGGUGAGUAACGCGUAGGAAUCUGCCGUACAGAGGGGAACAACAGAUGGAAACGUCUGCUAAUACCGCAUGAAGCCUGAGGGUGAAAGGUCGCGCAAGCGGUCGCUGUAUGAUGAGCCUGCGUUGGAUUAGCUGGUUGGUGAGGUAAAGGCUCACCAAGGCGAUGAUCCAUAGCUGUUCUGAGAGGAAGAUCAGCCACACUGGGACUGAGACACGGCCCAGACUCCUACGGGAGGCAGCAGUGGGGAAUAUUGGACAAUGGGGGCAACCCUGAUCCAGCAAUACCACGUGUGUGAAGAAGGCCUUAGGGUUGUAAAGCACUUUAGUUCGUGAGGAAGGCUAUCAGGUUAAGAGCUGGAUAGUUUGACGUUAGCGAAAGAAUAAGCACCGGCAAACUCCGUGCCAGCAGCCGCGGUAAUACGGAGGGUGCGAGCGUUAAUCGGAAUGACUGGGCGUAAAGGGUUCGUAGGUGGUCAGAUAAGUCAGAUGUGAAAUACCUGGGCUCAACCUGGGAGGGUCAUUUGAAACUGUUUGACUAGAGUUUACUAGAGGAUUGGGGAAUUUCCGGUGUAGCGGUGAAAUGCGUAGAGAUCGGAAGGAACAUCAAUGGCGAAGGCAACAAUCUGGGGUUGAACUGACACUGAGGGACGAAAGCGUGGGGAUCAAACAGGAUUAGAUACCCUGGUAGUCCACGCUGUAAACGAUGAGUACUAGCUGUUGGUCCUGGUGUAAAAGGAUUAGUGGCGCAGCAAACGCGAUAAGUACUCCGCCUGGGGACUACGGCCGCAAGGUUAAAACUCAAAGGAAUUGACGGGGACCCGCACAAGCGGUGGAGCAUGUGGUUUAAUUCGAUGCAACGCGAAGAACCUUACCUGCCCUUGACAUCCAUAGAAGACGAGAGAGAUUUUGUUGUGCCUUCGGGAACUAUGAGACAGGUGCUGCAUGGCUGUCGUCAGCUCGUGUUGUGAAAUGUUGGGUUAAGUCCCGCAACGAGCGCAACCCUUAUUUUUAGUUGCCAUCAUUAAGUUGGGCACUCUAGAGAGACUGCCGCUGAUAAGGCGGAGGAAGGUGGGGACGACGUCAAGUCAUCAUGGCCCUUACGGGCAGGGCUACACACGUGCUACAAUGGGCAUUACAGAGGGAGGCGAAGGUGCGAGCUGAAGCGAAACUCAGAAAGGUGUUCGUAGUCCGGAUUGCGCUCUGCAACUCGAGCGCAUGAAGUCGGAAUCGCUAGUAAUCGCGGAUCAGCAUGCCGCGGUGAAUACGUUCCCGGGUCUUGUACACACCGCCCGUCACACCAUGGGAGUGGGUUGCAAAAGAAGUAGAUAGUCUAACCGUAAGGGGGACGUUUACCACUUUGUGAUUCAUGACUGGGGUGAAGUCGUAACAAGGUAGCCGUAGGGGAACCUGCGGCUGGAUCACCUCCUUAAAGGUACGAGUAUGAUGUUGAAUUUUUAAUGUUGAAUGUUGAAUUUUUGAUGUUUGAAGUACGAAAGAAAUUAAGAAAGAGCGAGAAGUAUUUGAGUGUUUACAAAUGAUGUUUUUUCUAGAGACUAGAAACUAGAGACUAGAAACUAGAAACUAGAAACUAGAGACUAGAGACUAGAGACUAGAAACUAGAAUACUUCUAGAAACUAGUCUCUAGUCUCUAGUAUCUAGUGGGUCUGUAGCUCAGCUGGUUAGAGCGCACCCCUGAUAAGGGUGAGGUCGGUAGUUCAAGUCUACUCAGACCCACCAUCUAGAGACUAGUGUCAAGAGACUAGAAACUAGGGAUUGAAUCUUGCUGUGCGAGAUGAUUUUUUAAAUGAAUCAUCGCGAAGCGAUUCGAGUCUGGUUUCUAGUUUCUAGAGUAAGCGCAGCGAGCGUUCUAGUAUCUAGAGGGGCCAUAGCUCAGCUGGGAGAGCGCCUGCUUUGCACGCAGGAGGUCAGGAGUUCGAUCCUCCUUGGCUCCACCAUCUAGAGACUAGUGUCAAGAGACUAGAAACUAGGGAUUGAAUCUUGCUGUGCGAGAUGAUUUUUUAAAUGAAUCAUCGCGAAGCGAUUCGAGUCUGGUUUCUAGUUUCUAGAGUAAGCGCAGCGAGCGUUCUAGUAUCUAGAGCCGAGAUCUUUAACAAUUUAUUAUAGAGUAAUGACCAAGAGAAUAAGCGCAAACGGCGGAUGCCUUGGCAGUCAGAGGCGAGGAAAGACGUGAUAGCCUGCGAAAAGCUUCGGGGAGCUGGCAAAUAAGCAUUGAUCCGAAGAUAUCUGAAUGGGGGAACCCACCUCACUCAUAAAGUGCUCAGCACUUUAUUCAUUUCGAGAAACUAGAGAUUGGAAACUAGAAACUAGAGUGAGUAGAGGGUGUAAUUUGUGCAUGAAUGAGUAUUUUAAGAGUGGGGUAUCACUGACGUAAGUUAAGUGAGGCGAACGUGGGGAACUGAAACAUCUAAGUACCCAUAGGAAAAGAAAUCAACCGAGAUUCCCUAAGUAGCGGCGAGCGAAGGGGGAAGAGCCUGGUAUACUUUAGCAUGUGAGUUAGUCGAACAUUCUGGGAAGGAUGACCAUAGCAGGUGAUAGUCCUGUAGACGAAAGCUUGGAUGUGGAACUAGGUAUACGAAUAAGUAGGGCGGGACACGAGAAAUCCUGUUUGAAGAAGGGGGGACCUCCUCCAAGGCUAA
This 2817-nucleotide small RNA is filed under the name Caedibacter taeniospiralis. RNAcentral's name for it is "bacterial LSU rRNA". The stretch from base 1 to 1589 matches the Rfam family "Bacterial small subunit ribosomal RNA". The record is from RNAcentral. Lineage: Bacteria; Pseudomonadati; Pseudomonadota; Gammaproteobacteria; Thiotrichales; Fastidiosibacteraceae.